GCUUCCUGUACUCUCAAUCGGCUAGAGGACGUGACUGCGUGUUACGCGCGUGUGGGUUCGAGUCCCAUCAGGAAGCA
RNAcentral lists this transfer RNA (77 nucleotides) under compost metagenome. Its description in RNAcentral is "tRNA-Arg". It matches the Rfam family "tRNA". Rfam says of the family: Transfer RNA (tRNA) molecules are approximately 80 nucleotides in length. The record is from RNAcentral.